UACGUAGGGUGCAAGCGUUUAAUCGGAAUUACUGGGCGUAAAGCGUGCGCAGGCGGCUAUGCAAGACAGAUGUGAAAUCCCCGGGCUCAACCUGGGAACUGCAUUUGUGACUGCAUGGCUAGAGUGCGGCAGAGGGGGAUGGAAUUCCGCGUGUAGCAGUGAAAUGCGUAGAUAUGCGGAGGAACACCGGAUGGCGAAGGCAAUCCCCUGGGCCUGCACUGACGCUCAUGCACGAAAGCGUGGGGAGCAAACAGG
This 255-nucleotide ribosomal RNA is filed under the name uncultured bacterium. Its description in RNAcentral is "partial 16S ribosomal RNA". It matches the Rfam family "Bacterial small subunit ribosomal RNA", at positions 524 to 776 of the family's 1533-position model. The record is from RNAcentral.